This 582-nucleotide ribosomal RNA is filed under the name uncultured Pseudozyma. RNAcentral describes it as "LSU rRNA". It matches the Rfam family "Eukaryotic large subunit ribosomal RNA", at positions 104 to 669 of the family's 3401-position model. Lineage: Eukaryota; Fungi; Basidiomycota; Ustilaginomycetes; Ustilaginales; Ustilaginaceae. The record is from RNAcentral.
GAGCCAAGAUUGAAAGCUGGCGUCUUCGGCGUCCGCAUUGUAAUCUCAAGAAGUGUUUUCCGCUUCGGACCAUGCCUAAGUCCCUUGGAAAAGGGCAUCAUAGAGGGUGAUAAUCCCGUACAUGGCAUGGAGCGCCCGAAGCUUUGUGAUACACUUUCUAAGAGACGAGUUGUUUGGGAAUGCAGCUCAAAAUGGGUGGUAAAUGCCAUCUAAGGCUAAAUAUUGGGGAGAGACCGAUAGCGAACAAGUACAGUGAUGGAAAGAUGAAAAGAACUUUGAAAAGAGAGUUAAACAGUACGUGAAAUUGCCAAAAGGGAAGGGUAGGAGGUCAGAGAUGCGGCCUGGGAUUCAGCCUUGCUUUUGCUUGGUGUUUUUCCCAGAUUGCAGGCCAACGUCGGUUUUGGGCACUGGAGAAGGGUAGGAGGAACGUGGCACCUCUCGGGGUGUGUUAUAGCCUCCUACUGGAUACAGCGACCGAGACCGAGGACAGCAGCGUACUCGCAAGAGCGGGCCUUCGGGCACCUUUACGCUUAGGGCGUUGGCAUAAUGGCCCUCUACCACCCGUCUUGAAACACAGACCAC